This 301-nucleotide ribosomal RNA is filed under the name uncultured bacterium. RNAcentral's name for it is "partial 16S ribosomal RNA". It matches the Rfam family "Bacterial small subunit ribosomal RNA", at positions 509 to 807 of the family's 1533-position model. The record is from RNAcentral.
CAGCAGCCGCGGGAAUACGGAGGGUGCGAGCGUUAAUCGGAAUUACUGGGCGUAAAGAGUGCGUAGGUGGUUAAUUAAGUUAUCUGUGAAAUUCCUAGGCUUAACCUGGGCAGGUCAGAUAAUACUGGUUAACUCGAGUAUGGGAGAGGGUAGUGGAAUUUCCGGUGUAGCGGUGAAAUGCGUAGAGAUCGGAAGGAACACCAGUGGCGAAGGCGGCUACCUGGCCUAAUACUGACACUGAGGCACGAAAGCGUGGGGAGCAAACAGGAUUAGAUACCCCUGUAGUCCCUGUCUCUUAUAC